AGUGAACGCUGGCGGUAGGCCUAACACAUGCAAGUCGAACGGCAGCACAGUAAGAGCUUGCUCUUACGGGUGGCGAGUGGCGGACGGGUGAGGCAUACAUCGGAAUCUACUUUUUCGUGGGGGAUAACGUAGGGAAACUUAUGCUAAUACCGCAUACGACCUACGGGUGAAAGCAGGGGAUCUUCGGACCUUGCGCGUUUGAAUGAGCCGAUGUCGGAUUAGCUAGUUGGCGGGGUAAAGGCCCACCAAGGCGACGAUCCGUAGCUGGUCUGAGAGGAUGAUCAGCCACACUGGAACUGAGACACGGUCCAGACUCCUACGGGAGGCAGCAGUGGGGAAUAUUGGACAAUGGGCGCAAGCCUGAUCCAGCCAUACCGCGUGGGUGAAGAAGGCCUUCGAGUUGUAAAGCCCUUUUGUUGGGAAAGAAAAGCAGCAGGUUAAUACCCCGCUGUUCUGACGGUACCCAAAGAAUAAGCACCGGCUAACUUCGU
Molecule: ribosomal RNA, 491 nt
Filed under: uncultured bacterium
Lineage: Bacteria
Description: partial 16S ribosomal RNA
Rfam family: Bacterial small subunit ribosomal RNA
Source: RNAcentral